RNAcentral lists this ribosomal RNA (570 nucleotides) under uncultured fungus. RNAcentral's name for it is "eukaryotic LSU rRNA". The stretch from base 208 to 361 matches the Rfam family "5.8S ribosomal RNA". Lineage: Eukaryota; Fungi. The record is from RNAcentral.
CGUAACAAGGUCUCCGUAGGUGAACCUGCGGAGGGAUCAUUACACAAAUAUGAAGGCGGGCUGGAACCUCUCGGGGUUACAGCCUUGCUGAAUUAUUCACCCUUGUCUUUUGCGUACUUCUUGUUUCCUUGGUGGGUUCGCCCACCACUAGGACAAACAUAAACCUUUUGUAAUUGCAAUCAGCGUCAGUAACAAAUUAAUAAUUACAACUUUCAACAACGGAUCUCUUGGUUCUGGCAUCGAUGAAGAACGCAACGAAAUGCGAUAAGUAGUGUGAAUUGCAGAAUUCAGUGAAUCAUCGAAUCUUUGAACGCACAUUGCGCCCUUUGGUAUUCCAAAGGGCAUGCCUGUUCGAGCGUCAUUUGUACCCUCAAGCUUUGCUUGGUGUUGGGCGUCUUGUCUCUAGCUUUGCUGGAGACUCGCCUUAAAGUAAUUGGCAGCCGGCCUACUGGUUUCGGAGCGCAGCACAAGUCGCACUCUCUAUCAGCAAAGGUCUAGCAUCCAUUAAGCCUUUUUUUCAACUUUUGACCUCGGAUCAGGUAGGGAUACCCGCUGAACUUAAGCAUAUCA